GCAUGUAUGGUUAGUGGCAGACGGGUGAGUAAUGCAUAGGAAUCUGCCUAGUAGUAUAGGAUAGCCACUAGAAAUGGUGGGUAAUACUGUAUAAUCCCUGCGGGGGAAAGAUUUAUCGCUACUAGAUGAGCCUAUGUCAGAUUAGCUAGUUGGUGGGGUAAUGGCCUACCAAGGCAGUGAUCUGUAGCUGGUCUGAGAGGAUGAUCAGCCACACUGGAACUGAGACACGGUCCAGACUCCUACGGGAGGCAGCAGUGGGGAAUAUUGGACAAUGGGCGCAAGCCUGAUCCAGCUAUGCCGCGUGAGUGAGGAAGGCCUUAGGGUUGUAAAACUCUUUCAGUAGGGAAGAUAAUGACGGUACCUACAGAAGAAGUCCCGGCAAACUCCGUGCCAGCAGCCGCGGUAAUACGGAGGGGGCAAGCGUUGUUCGGAAUUAUUGGGCGUAAAGGGCAUGUAGGCGGUUUGGUAAGUUAAAGGUGAAAUACCAGGGCUUAAC
Molecule: ribosomal RNA, 496 nt
Filed under: Anaplasma sp.
Lineage: Bacteria; Pseudomonadati; Pseudomonadota; Alphaproteobacteria; Rickettsiales; Anaplasmataceae
Description: bacterial SSU rRNA
Rfam family: Bacterial small subunit ribosomal RNA
Source: RNAcentral